This is a long non-coding RNA of Helianthus annuus (common sunflower), 616 nucleotides long. RefSeq lists it as uncharacterized. The transcript has 3 exons. The record is from RefSeq and is a predicted model, not a curated record. NCBI's taxonomy places the organism in Eukaryota, Viridiplantae, Streptophyta, Magnoliopsida, Asterales, Asteraceae.
AGCGAUCCUUUCCUCCAUCAGUUCUUCCUUCACCGAUUCAUCAAUAUUAAUCAUAGGUUUUGCAGGUGGGGGAAUCGAUUCCUUCCAGAAAUCGAUGAACCCUAAAUUGAUCUCCCAAACCCAGGGUUUUAGGGCUUUUUAUCUUCAACACAUCUAAGAUCAGAAACCACUGCUAGCAUUGAGAUCGCUGAAUAAGCUUUGUCGCUGUCGUGAUGUUCAUUCAACUGUAAAGAAUCUCCAAGCUUCAUCGGGUACUAUUUUUUAUGUUUUCUUUUCAUUAAUAUGUGUUGUUUCAAGAUUGAUUGCAUUCAGGAGAUUUGUAGGCUGUUGAUUUCUUUUUAUUUUGUUGUGUUUCAAGAUUUUGUUGAUUUGGUUAAUUGCAUGAGUUUGUAUACUUAUGUUGGGUGCCUACAGUUUCUAUUAUGUAUAUUAAAAUCAGGUUUGAAUAUGUGGUUUAUCUGUGUUUGUUGAUGUGUAUCUGUUGAUGCUCUCAAAAAAACGUAAUCGGCUUAUUUAUACUUGCUAUAUGUCUGUAUGUGUGUUCGUUAAUGUGUAUUUGUUGAGUGUUGAAGCUGUUAGUGUCUUCUUUUAGAUCUGUAUGAUCAUAGUAAUAUCU